Molecule: long non-coding RNA, 406 nt
Filed under: Phoenix dactylifera (date palm)
Lineage: Eukaryota; Viridiplantae; Streptophyta; Magnoliopsida; Arecales; Arecaceae
Description: long non-coding RNA (PDAC_LNC010130)
Source: RNAcentral
AUCGAGAUAAUCCCUAUGAGUCCCACCAUCCACCAGUGAUACCUAGCAGCAUGUAGUGGCUACCCAGCAGAAUAGAAUGAUGAACCUCUAGGUGCAGUUAUCGUGUGAUACAGUCCUACUAUCGUGGAUCCCUACAGGACGGAGGUCAUGGAUAACUCAUCAAACCCCUUCGUCUGUCAUAUGUCAAGAUUUAUUCGACUCGAGUUCGAUAGUGGAAAACUCUUUCUCCACUUUAUAUUACUGCCCUGGCCAAGGUCUUAGAACUCAGUCUAACAAAUCACAUAGGAUCACUCCUCUUCUAUCAAGGUCGAUAGAUUCCAUGUAAGUGCAUACCCUACUCCUACAGUGAACUUAAUGCAGCCAAUCUACAUUACAAGGACCCAUAUGACUAGAGACCAUGUAUACG